GUGAAUUAGCGGCGAACGGGUGAGGAACACGUGAGAAAUCUGCCUUCAACACUGGGAUAACUCCGGGAAACCGGGGCUAAUACCGGAUAUGAAAUCUGCGGGCAUCCGCGGAUUUGGAAAGUUUUUCGGUUGAAGAUGAUCUCGCGGCCUAUCAGCUUGUUGGUGAGGUAAUGGCUCACCAAGGCGACGACGGGUAGCCGGCCUGAGAGGGCGACCGGCCACACUGGGACUGAGACACGGCCCAGACUCC
This 250-nucleotide ribosomal RNA is filed under the name uncultured bacterium. RNAcentral's name for it is "partial 16S ribosomal RNA". It matches the Rfam family "Bacterial small subunit ribosomal RNA", at positions 87 to 339 of the family's 1533-position model. RNAcentral also lists the same sequence under 1 other name. The record is from RNAcentral.